GCACUAGGGACUGGUUAGCUUUAAAUCGAACUUAUCCUGGCACCCAGUUCAUGCUUCGAGCAUCCUUACUUCUUCGUCGUUUAAUGCCAUACCAGUCCACGCCAGACCGUGGACUGCCUCACCCAAAUCUUUUUGCCCAUUUCGAGUUCUCGUCACUUGUCCAAUAUGGAGAAUGCCAGGCACUGGUGGUUUUCAUGAGUCGUCCAAGUCAGCUAUGGUUCUUCUUCAUUUUGCGAAGGGAAACCAUGAAAAGGAGUCCCACAUGGGGAAUUCGAAAAGAAUCACAUACCAGAACAGGACACAAAGGAGGAGGCUAGGCAACGUUCCAAAGCAUACCUUUCUCGGCCUUUUGGCUAAGAUCAAGUGUAGUAUCUGUUCUUAUCAGUUUAAUAUCUGAUACGUGGGCCAUCGGUCCACAUGAUAUUAAAUUAAUUUGUCUAGGGGGAGAGGCCGCCACAGUGGCUUGCUACUGGGCCUCUCGCGCGUCGCUCGGGAGUUGCACUUCAGCCCUUGCCUGGCGCACCCCACCCAAGCCCAGUCGAAACGAUGCUUUUGUGUUGCUUAACUAGUCCGCAAAGCUCUCGGGUGCGGUCUCCGACUCUCUGCCUCUCUGUGUUGCUGAAAAACUAUUGGGUUGUAGCUGUUGGAAGCCAAGCAAACAUCAUUCCUGAAGCGAAGAAUCCAAAAGACAAUGGUGAUCUGUCAGUGUUUCUCGGGUUUAUCUGUGCUAAGUGGUCCCGUUCUAUUAUACACUGAGCAUUGGAGUCUUUUUAUGAUGGUGAAUGUUCCACAAAUUCAUGGCUCCUUGUCAAAAAGCCCACCCUAGUUCUUCUUAUGAAACGUACCACAUUGGAUGAAAGGCAAGAACAUGGGCAGCAAGGCCAGUCACAAAAGACGAGGUUGUAAAAUUGGGCAAAUCACGCAGCCAUGUGAUGAGCACAGAGCAAACUAUUCUUUCGCUCUUUACUAAAGAAUACCGUGUGCUCGUCACAACUAGUGGCAUACGCCCGUUUUUGAAGGGGCUUCCUCAACUGAUUUUUUCUUAGCCCCUUAAAACAUGUCUCGCUUAGCAACUGUCUCCUAACGACAAUCAAUUAGCUUCAGAUAUUGAACUAGCUGAACUUAGCUAUACAAAAGAAACUAGCUGAACUUAGCUAUGCAAAAGAUUCCACCCUGAGAUAACAAUAAUGCUCACAAUUCAUUCCAA
Molecule: long non-coding RNA, 1207 nt
Organism: Syzygium oleosum
Lineage: Eukaryota; Viridiplantae; Streptophyta; Magnoliopsida; Myrtales; Myrtaceae
Exons: 2
Source: RefSeq, a predicted model, not a curated record